AAAUUAUAAUGACGCAAUAAAUAGACUGGAAAUUGGUCAGGAUUGGAAAAUAGCAGCCAUAACAGUAAAUGUUUAUGUGCGUCUUUUUUUGAGGCUUU
This 98-nucleotide signal recognition particle RNA is filed under the name Bacillota bacterium. Its description in RNAcentral is "signal recognition particle sRNA small type". It matches the Rfam family "Bacterial small signal recognition particle RNA". Rfam says of the family: The signal recognition particle (SRP) is a universally conserved ribonucleoprotein involved in the co-translational targeting of proteins to membranes. Archaeal SRP consists of a 7S RNA and homologues of the eukaryotic SRP19 and SRP54 proteins. The record is from RNAcentral. Lineage: Bacteria; Bacillati; Bacillota.